This 493-nucleotide ribosomal RNA is filed under the name uncultured bacterium. RNAcentral describes it as "bacterial SSU rRNA". It matches the Rfam family "Bacterial small subunit ribosomal RNA", at positions 28 to 507 of the family's 1533-position model. The record is from RNAcentral.
GACGAACGCUGGCGGCGUGGAUUAGGCAUGCAAGUCGGACGGUAGGGCUUUAUCGUAAGAUAGAGUUCGAGAGUGGCGAACGGGUGAGUAACACGUAGGAAUCUACCCUUAAGACGGGGACAACCCAGGGAAACUUGGGCUAAUACCGGAUGAGAGUGCGAGAGAUUGCAUUUAAAAGGAUGGCGAAAGUUGUCGCUUAGGGAUGAGCCUGCGGUCUAUUAGUUAGUUGGUGAGGUAAGAGCUCACCAAGGCGAUGAUAGAUAGGCGGCCUUAACGGGUGGUCGCCCACACUGGGAUUGAGAUACGGCCCAGACUCCUACGGGAGGCAGCAGCAGGGAAUCUUGGGCAAUGGGGGAAACCCUGACCCAGUGACGCCGCGUGCAGGAAGGAGCCCUUCGGGGUGUAAACUGCUGUCGUGUAGGGAGAAGGGUACUAAGGUGAACAAUCUUAGUACUUGACGGUACUACAGGAGGAAGCCCAGGCUAACCUCGUG